CCUACGGGAUGCACCAGUGGGGAAUAUUGCACAAUGGGCGCAAGCCUGAUGCAGCCAUGCCGCGUGUAUGAAGAAGGCCUUCGGGUUGUAAAGUACUUUCAGCGGGGAGGAAGGAGUUGUGGUUAAUAACCACAGCAAUUGACGUUACCCGCAGAAGAAGCACCGGCUAACUCCGUGCCAGCAGCCGCGGUAAUACGGAGGGUGCAAGCGUUAAUCGGAAUUACUGGGCGUAAAGCGCACGCAGGCGGUCUGUCAAGUCGGAUGUGAAGUCCCCGGGCUCAACCUGGGAACCGCAUUCGAAACUGGCAGGCUAGAGUCUUGUAGAGGGGGUAGAAUUCCAGGUGUAGCGGUGAAAUGCGUAGAGAUCUGGAGGAAUACCGGUGGCGAAGGCGGCCCCUUGGACAAAGACUGACGCUCAGGUGCGAAAGCGUGGGGAGCAAACAGGAUUAGAUACCCCCGUAGUC
RNAcentral lists this ribosomal RNA (464 nucleotides) under uncultured bacterium. RNAcentral's name for it is "bacterial SSU rRNA". It matches the Rfam family "Bacterial small subunit ribosomal RNA", at positions 338 to 795 of the family's 1533-position model. The record is from RNAcentral.